GUAAGGAAUAUUGGUCAAUGGACGAAAGUCUGAACCAGCCAUGCCGCGUGAAGGAUUAAGGCCCUCUGGGUUGUAAACUUCUUUUAUCUGGGACGAAAAAAGGGUAUUCUUACUCACUUGACGGUACCAGAGGAAUAAGCACCGGCUAACUCCGUGCCAGCAGCCGCGGUAAUACGGAGGGUGCAAGCGUUAUCCGGAUUCACUGGGUUUAAAGGGUGCGUAGGUGGAUAUUUAAGUCAGUGGUGAAAUCUCCGAGCUUAACUCGGAAACUGCCAUUGAUACUAUUUAUCUUGAAUGCCCUGGAGGUAAGCGGAAUAUGUCAUGUAGCGGUGAAAUGCUUAGAUAUGACAUAGAACACCAAUUGCGAAGGCAGCUUACUACGGGGUGAUUGACACUGAGGCACGAAAGCGUGGGGAUCAAACAGGAUUAGAAACCCCUGUAGUCC
Molecule: ribosomal RNA, 445 nt
Filed under: uncultured bacterium
Lineage: Bacteria
Description: bacterial SSU rRNA
Rfam family: Bacterial small subunit ribosomal RNA
Source: RNAcentral